GAUGAACGCUGGCGGCGUGCCUAAUACAUGCAAGUCGAGCGAACGGACGAGAAGCUUGCUUCUCUGAUGUUAGCGGCGGACGGGUGAGUAACACGUGGAUAACCUACCUAUAAGACUGGGAUAACUUCGGGAAACCGGAGCUAAUACCGCAUAAUAUUUUGAACCGCAUGGUUCAAAAGUGAAAGACGGUCUUGCUGUCACUUAUAGAUGUAUCCGCGCUGCAUUAGCUAGUUGGUAAGGUAACGGCUUACCAAGGCAACGAUGCAUAGCCGACCUGAGAGGGGGAUCGGCCACACUGGAACGGAGACACGGUCCAGAAUCCUACGGGAGGCAGCAGAAGGGAAUCUUCCGCAAUGGGGGAAAGCCUGACGGAGCAACGCCGGGUGAGUGAUGAAGGUCUUCGGAUCGUAAAACUCUGUUAUUAGGGAAGAACAUAUGUGUAAGUAAAUGUGCACAUAUUGACGGUACCUAAUCAGAAAGCAACGGCUAACUACGUG
Molecule: ribosomal RNA, 497 nt
Filed under: uncultured bacterium
Lineage: Bacteria
Description: partial 16S ribosomal RNA
Rfam family: Bacterial small subunit ribosomal RNA
Source: RNAcentral